Molecule: small nuclear RNA, 104 nt
Filed under: Saimiri boliviensis boliviensis (Bolivian squirrel monkey)
Lineage: Eukaryota; Metazoa; Chordata; Mammalia; Primates; Cebidae
Source: RNAcentral
AUACUCGCUUUGGCAGCACAUAUACUAAAAUUGGAACGAUACAGAGAUUAGCAUGGACUCUGUGCAAGGAAAACACACAAAUUCAUGAAGCACUCCAUAUUUUU